Molecule: ribosomal RNA, 253 nt
Filed under: uncultured bacterium
Lineage: Bacteria
Description: partial 16S ribosomal RNA
Rfam family: Bacterial small subunit ribosomal RNA
Source: RNAcentral
UACGUAGGGUGCGAGCGUUGUCCGGAAUUACUGGGCGUAAAGGGCUCGUAGGCGGCCAACUAAGUCAGACGUGAAAUCCCCAGGCUCAACCUGGGAACUGCGUCUGAUACUGGAUGGCUUGAAUUCGGGAGAGGGAUGCAGAAUUCCAGGUGUAGCGGUGAAAUGCGUAGAUAUCUGGAGGAAUACCGGUGGCGAAGGCGGCAUCCUGGACCGACAUUGACGCUGAUGAGCGAAAGCUAGGGGAGCAAACGGG